GGUGGUUCAGAGGUAGAGUGCUUGCCUUGCAUGCAUGAGGCCCUGGGUUCAAUUCCUCAGCACCA
Non-coding RNA from Dipodomys ordii (Ord's kangaroo rat), 65 nucleotides. The record is from Rfam. Lineage: Eukaryota; Metazoa; Chordata; Mammalia; Rodentia; Heteromyidae.